GAGGAGUCAGGUUUGGGAGGAUAAAGCUUCUGUGUUUUCCUACUUGCAUUCCACGCAUGAAAUGCCGGAAGAAGACCUGUCUAGUCAAAAGCAGGUCAGACGGAGGCUGAAAGUGGUUGCUGAUGGUCAACACGGUAUCGUAAGGAAAAAAAGUGCAACAUAAUCAGCAGUCAGAGAGAUGGAAAAGGAGAGAGAUGUUGUGAACAGUGUUGAUUUUGUUUUGGCAGAUAUGAACCUACACAGCAGGCCAUCAAGCAAAGUAAGUGAAGUAUUAAUCUAUAUUGCAGUGCACACACAAUAAGACCAGAGAUAUGCUCUCUUUAACAUCUGGUUUGGAUUAUGGGCUUACUUAUACAGGCAAUGUAUGGUGUAGCAAGUUUAUGCAUUGAAUGUUUAAUGCUGAUGACCCUAAACCACUGACAGAUGUUCAAUGCAACAUGAUGACUACAUUUUUGCAUUCAUUUUAGAACAGUGCAGCAAAAUUGCUAAAUACAUACAGUAAAUGACUUCAAUUAAGAGAACAGAUUUUGGUUCUGCUUGUUUAUACAUUUUGUAAUUAUAAUUCCCUGAAACACUUGUUAAUUAGAAGGCAGCGAAAUAAAAACAAAGAUAUAAUUUCCUCUGUUUAUAUUAAUGUAACUCAAAAAUGAAAUCUGAUUUAUAGUAUUAUGUUAUAUUUAUGCACUGAAGGAUUAUAAAAAGAGGCAAUUAGCUCAAUAACAACUUCAAAGCAUCAGCUUUGCAACCAGGAGAAAUGCAACAGCAGCAACCGAACAAUGAUUAGCAUCGUAACAUUGUUUAGAGUUGCUGCCUCCUCCCAAUGCACAAUGGAGAGAAGAACGAAUCCCAAACAACGAGCAUAAGCAAAUCCCACCUAUCAUGUGCUGCACUGUUUACAAACUAUCAGAUCAGCAUAUCAGCAGGUAUGUACACAACAUGUUCAUUCAAGCUUUGUAAGCAAAUGCAUUCUGGGACACAGAAUUCAUUAAUUCACUUCUCCGUGCGGCUUCUAUAAGCGCAACCUUGGUGUGAUGAGAAACACAGAUGAAAAAACACCUUGUCCCUUUGCUGUAGAUCAGCGAUGGGAGAUAAUUAGUCUCCAUAGCUGGGCUGCUGUGACUGGCUACACAUGUUCCAGCUGUCACAGGUGUAUUCCUGGAGACUGAGGCAAUGACAGCCAUGACGGGACCAUCUGGGCCUGUUCCUAUCACGGGAGGAUGCCUUGCCAAUGACAGUCUCCAUUCUGCUUGAGAAGGAGGCACUGAGUAUGUGUGUGUGUAUUUGUGUGUGUGUACGCAUGUUGACUGACUUUACAUGUGUCCCACAGGACCCCAUUUUAAGGUAUUCCAGGCUUUCUUUGUGGAUCAAACACUGUACUGAUCUCUGUGGGGCAGCAAUCAUGCAGGCUGCUGAUUGUGUGUCAAUGUGUAAAUAUGUUUUGGUUCACAUUCAAACCCAAGGUAUGUGCAUGGGCUGUAUGUCUGUGUGCAGGUGUUUGUGUUUACUUUAAUCUCAAAUCUUUUGACAUUUUCACUCAGUUAUGGGUUAUCCAAAUCUGUACACUUUGAAUAUACCAUUUAGUUUCAUUCCCAACAACAUUGAACAGUUGCAAGGUGUUAAAACCUGUUAUACUUCACCCCAAAGUGGAACUUUGAUGUUAAUUUACUCACCUUUAGGCACUGGAGAUGUACGUGACUUACUUUCCUCAGUAGAACAUUAACAUUGAUUUUUAGCUGAAUUCAUGGCCCUUGGUGAUUCAUAAACUGGCACCAUUGUUGUUUACAACAGAGGGAGGCUGCAUGUAAACAACAAUGGCGUCAAUUCACACUCAAUUUACUCUGCAUGAGUGUUCAUCAUGUGACAGAGGGCUCGAGCUCCAAAACCCUUUGCAUGAAGCUGUGGAUUACAGUGACAGAACCCAUUGACUUCCAUUUAAAGAAUAACCAAGAAUCACAGCUUCAGCUAAAAAUCAUCUUUAAUGUUCUGCUGUAUAAAGAAAAAUUGCUACUUGAAGCAACAUGAGGGUUGUGUGUCCCAGCCUAAGGUUUAUAAACAAACACACACAGAGACUCCAACUGUCACGAUCCUUUCAUGCAAGAAGUGGAUCAUUGAUCCCAGGAUCAAAUGUAGUCUGUUCCUCAUGACUCCAAGCGCAUCCGUAAUCCCUGAUUUCUUCUAUAUUUCACAUGGCGAGGACUCAGCCCUCUGCAUCCAUGCUCACACUUCAAAGCAUUCCUUUCAUGUGUGUUUUGAGUAAGUAUGUGAAUAUCACUUGCAUACGUGUUGCAGUGGUGGCAUUGUUGACAGAAUCAGAGGUAGGCAUAAGGUUGUGGCAGUCAAUAAAAAUAUAGAAAACACUGCACUGCACUUUGUAAAUGUUAAAUAAGCAAUUAAAGACUCAAAAUAAUGCAUUGCUUGGUUUAGAGUCAAAGACUGAAUCUAAUUGGCUUGAUGAGAGACAACAUAUGCUUGUAAGCAGUCAUACUGACUGUACUGCAGCAUAUUGUGAAAUCUAACCUGAUGUUUUUCUGAUCAGCUACAAUGAGGUAAAGAAGGCCCAGAAGAUGCAAUGACCAGUUGCCCAA
Molecule: long non-coding RNA, 2585 nt
Organism: Cyprinus carpio carpio
Lineage: Eukaryota; Metazoa; Chordata; Actinopteri; Cypriniformes; Cyprinidae
Source: Ensembl